CACCACUGUCACCAGAUAGCUUUAGUGUCUGUACUCAAGGCGUGUGGGAAACAGCGACGGGGAAAGAGAAUGCUUUAAUAUAAAACCCCUUGCCUUAGGCACACAUGCCCACACUUUAUUUCUGAAGCCAGACUCCAACUCAUCUUUCAAAGCCAAUUUCAUGCCGCACCUGCUCCACGGUGCCUUUCCCCGCUCUGAGAGAAGGAUCGUUGCUUAGAGGGCUACAGGCGCUGAUGGUGGGCUGCUCUCUAACUAUACUAGCUGGGUGAGCUCAGAAAUAAGGAAGAGGGCGUGACCAAAGCGAGGGACCCUCUGUACUUCUCGCAUGUGUUUCCUUGAGGAAAGCCAAGAUUCCUGGCCAGGGCAACCUGCUUGCGAUCCCAGAGUUGACAUUGGGUCCGUUCCACAGCCCUAACUGACCUCACUCCUCCCUGAUGGGCUUUGAGCAAAGAUUUCUAAAUCAGAUAGUGUCCGUUUUUUCAUGGACACAGAAGACAAGCACCUGUGAUCCAAUCCUGUGAGCCAAAACAGGAGGUCUGUACCCAUGUGUCUCUGAAUGCCCUUGUGACUGCACAGAAGGGCUGCUGAAGGAAUGUGACCUGUGCAUACACUGGCUUGUUGUCCCCUGCCUCGGGAUGUUUCUGGAGCAUCUGCUCUGUCAGCUGCUGUGGUACUAGCAGAACUGGACAGCAUGAGAUGAGAACUGAGGAAAACUCAGAAGAAAAGGGAUUCCAAGUCAUUGGCAAGUCAUUCCAAGGACUGGAGAGAUGACUCAGAUGGUUAAGAGUACUGUUGCUCUUGAAGUGGACCAGGGUUGGGUUCCCAGCACCCACGUGGUGGUUCACAGCCAUUCAGAACUUCAGUUCCAGGGGUUCUGAUGACUUCUUCUGACUUCCAUGGGCUCCAGGCACGUACAUGGUACACAUAUGUUCAUGCAGGAAAAACACUCAUGCACUUAAACUUGAAAACAAUAAUAAAAUAACCAAGACUUUCCAGCUGAUGGUUCCUCUACCUAGAAACGGCCAACCUUCAUUUCUUUCUCCAGCAAGGAGGACUUCACAACAGCUUAAGAACAAGGUGGGGAGGGAUCAGUAGCCAUAGUUUGAAAAACUACCCCCUCAAACACACACCUUUGUGCCAGAUAGAUUCACUACACAAGCAUUUACAAAUGUGACUCUGCCUUGGGCAUCAAGAAAUGGGCACAACAGCAUCCCCAGGUGUCACUGAAGUUCUCCCAAAUCCUG
RNAcentral lists this long non-coding RNA (1244 nucleotides) under Cricetulus griseus (Chinese hamster). RNAcentral describes it as "lncRNA (ENSCGRG00015034844.1)". Lineage: Eukaryota; Metazoa; Chordata; Mammalia; Rodentia; Cricetidae. The record is from RNAcentral.